GACGAACGCUGGCGGCGUGCCUAACACAUGCAAGUCGAACGGAGAUAUGAUUUCGGUUGUAUCUUAGUGGCGAACGGGUGAGUAACGCGUGAGCAACCUGACUCUUAGAGGGGGAUAACACCCGGAAACGAGUGCUAAUACCGCAUAAGACCACGACAUGGCAUCAUGACGAGGUCAAAGGAGCAAUCCGCUGAGAGAGGGGCUCGCGUCCCAUUAGAUAGAUGGCGGGGUAAUGGCCCACCAUGUCAGCGAUGGGUAGCCGAGCUGAGAGGCUGAUCGGCCACACUGGAACUGAGACACGGUCCAGACUCCUACGGGAGGCAGCAGUGGGGAAUAUUGGGCAAUGGGCGCAAGCCUGACCCAGCAACGCCGCGUGAGGGAAGAAGGCUUUCGGGUUGUAAACCUCUGUCCUUGGUGACGAAAAAAUGACGGUAGCCAAGGAGGAAGCCCCGGCUAACUACGUGCCAGCAGCCGCGGUAAUAUAGCGUACC
Molecule: ribosomal RNA, 491 nt
Filed under: uncultured bacterium
Lineage: Bacteria
Description: bacterial SSU rRNA
Rfam family: Bacterial small subunit ribosomal RNA
Source: RNAcentral